AUGAACGCUGGCGGCGUGGAUAAGGCAUGCAAGUCAAACGGGCUCUGUAGCAAUACAGAGUACAGUGGCGAACGAGUUAGUAAUACCUUGGAACGUACUCCGAAGACGGGGAUAACUAGUCGAAAGAUUAGCUAAUACCCGAUAGUACAGCAAUGUUAAAGACGCAAGUCACUUCGGAAGCGGCCUAGGUCCUAUCAGCUUGUUGGUGAGGUAAUGGCUCACCAAGGCAAUGACGGGUAGGGGGUGUGAGAGCACGGCCCCCAACGAUGACACUGCGAUACGGGUCAUACACCUACGGGUGGCUGCAGUCGAGAAUAUUCGACAAUGGGCGAAAGCCUGAUCGAGCGACGCCGCGUGCGGGAAGAAGUGCUUCGGCAUGUAAACCGCUUUUGCGUGGGAGAAAUUUUGAUAGUACCACGAGAAUAAGGGGUUGCUAACCUCGU
RNAcentral lists this ribosomal RNA (443 nucleotides) under uncultured bacterium. RNAcentral describes it as "bacterial SSU rRNA". It matches the Rfam family "Bacterial small subunit ribosomal RNA", at positions 29 to 506 of the family's 1533-position model. The record is from RNAcentral.